UUUCGUAGGUGUUCCUUGCGGAGCGAUCAUUACAGAGUUGCAAAACUCCCAAACCAUCGUGAACGUUACCUACAUCGUUGCUUCGGCGGGUGGCGGGCUUCGGCCCUGCCCUCGGCCCCUCUCGGGGGCCCGCCGGAGGUACACCAAACUCUUGAAUUUACAUGGCCUCUCUGAGUCUUCUGUACUGAAUAAGUCAAAACUUUCAACAACGGAUCUCUUGGUUCUGGCAUCGAUGAAGAACGCAGCGAAAUGCGAUAAGUAAUGUGAAUUGCAGAAUUCAGUGAAUCAUCGAAUCUUUGAACGCACAUUGCGCCCGCCAGUAUUCUGGCGGGCAUGCCUGUCCGAGCGUCAUUUCAACCAUCAAGCCCCCGGCUUGUGUUGGGGACCUGCGGCACACCCGCAGGCCCUGAAAACCAGUGGCGGGCUCGCUGUCCACACCGAGCGUAGUAGCAUAUCUUUGUCUCGCUCAGGGCGUGCGGCGGGUUCCGGCCGUGAAACCCACCUUCUCGAAGGUACCCAAAGGUUGACACUCGGAUCAGGUAGGAAGACCCGCUGAACUAAGUAAAUUU
Molecule: ribosomal RNA, 569 nt
Filed under: Dichotomopilus indicus
Lineage: Eukaryota; Fungi; Ascomycota; Sordariomycetes; Sordariales; Chaetomiaceae
Description: eukaryotic LSU rRNA
Rfam family: 5.8S ribosomal RNA (bases 198-351)
Source: RNAcentral